Molecule: ribosomal RNA, 429 nt
Filed under: Pseudomonadota bacterium
Lineage: Bacteria; Pseudomonadati; Pseudomonadota
Description: Proteobacteria bacterium partial 16S ribosomal RNA
Rfam family: Bacterial small subunit ribosomal RNA
Source: RNAcentral
UGGGGAAUAUUGGACAAUGGGCGAAAGCCUGAUCCAGCCAUGCCGCGUGUGUGAAGAAGGUCUUCGGAUUGUAAAGCACUUUAAGUUGGGAGGAAGGGCAGUAAGCGAAUACCUUGCUGUUUUGACGUUACCGACAGAAUAAGCACCGGCUAACUCUGUGCCAGCAGCCGCGGUAAUACAGAGGGUGCAAGCGUUAAUCGGAAUUACUGGGCGUAAAGCGCGCGUAGGUGGUUCGUUAAGUGGAAUGUGAAAGCCCCGGGCUCAACCUGGGAACUGCAUCCAAAACAGGCGAGCUAGAGUAGGGCAGAGGGUGGUGGAAUUUCCUGGGUAGCGGUGAAAUGCGUAGAUAUAGGAAGGAACACCAGUGGCGAAGGCGACCACCUGGGCUCAUACUGACACUGAGGUGCGAAAGCGUGGGGAGCAAACAGG